RNAcentral lists this ribosomal RNA (429 nucleotides) under Chloroflexota bacterium. RNAcentral describes it as "Chloroflexi bacterium partial 16S ribosomal RNA". It matches the Rfam family "Bacterial small subunit ribosomal RNA", at positions 355 to 776 of the family's 1533-position model. The record is from RNAcentral. Lineage: Bacteria; Bacillati; Chloroflexota.
UGGGGAAUAUUGCACAAUGGGCGCAAGCCUGAUGCAGCCAUGCCGCGUGUGUGAAGAAGGCCUUCGGGUUGUAAAGCACUUUCAGCGGGGAGGAGGGCGAUAAGGUUAUUAACCUUGUGGAUUGACGUACCCCGCAGAAGAAGCACCGGCAAACCCCGUGCCAGCAGCCGCGGUAAUACGGAGGGUGCAAGCGUUAACCGGAAUUACUGGGCGUAAAGCGCACGCAGGCGGUCUGUCAAGUCGGAUGUGAAAUCCCCGGGCUCAACCUGGGAACUGCAUUCGAAACUGGCAGGCUAGAGGCUUGUAGAGGGGGGUAGAAUUCCAGGUGUAGCGGUGAAAUGCGUAGAGAUCUGGAGGAAUACCGGUGGCGAAGGCGGCCCCCUGGACAAAGACUGACGCUCAGGUGCGAAAGCGUGGGGAGCAAACAGG